GACGAACCGUGCAAACGUUAUUCGGAAUCACUGGGCUUAAAGGGCGCGUAGGCGGGCAGGCAAGUCAGGGGUGAAAGCCCACGGCUCAACCGUGGAAGCGCCUUUGAUACUGCCGGUCUCGAGGGAGGUAGGGGCGUGCGGAACUUCCGGUGGAGCGGUGAAAUGCGUAGAUAUCGGAAGGAACACCGGUGGCGAAAGCGGCGCGCUGGACCUCUUCUGACGCUGAGGCGCGAAAGCCAGGGGAGCAAACGGG
This 253-nucleotide ribosomal RNA is filed under the name uncultured bacterium. RNAcentral describes it as "partial 16S ribosomal RNA". It matches the Rfam family "Bacterial small subunit ribosomal RNA", at positions 524 to 776 of the family's 1533-position model. The record is from RNAcentral.